UGGGGAAUAUUGGGCAAUGGAGGCAACUCUGACCCAGCAACGCCGCGUGAGCGAUGAAGGUCUUCGGAUUGUAAAGCUCUUUAAGCGGGGACGAAGAAAGUGACUGUACCCGCAGAAUAAGCCUCGGCUAACUACGUGCCAGCAGCCGCGGUAAUACGUAGGAGGCAAGCGUUAUCCGGAAUGACUGGGCGUAAAGGGUGCGUAGGUGGUUUGGCAAGUUGGUAGCGUAAUCCCGGGGCUCAACCUCGGUGCUACUACCAAAACUGUUGAACUUGAGUGCAGGAGGGGUGAAUGGAAUUCCUAGUGUAGCGGUGGAAUGCGUAGAUAUUAGGAAGAACACCAGCGGCGAAGGCGAUUCACUGGACUGUAACUGACACUGAGGCACGAAAGCGUGGGGAGCAAACAGG
RNAcentral lists this ribosomal RNA (407 nucleotides) under uncultured bacterium. Its description in RNAcentral is "bacterial SSU rRNA". It matches the Rfam family "Bacterial small subunit ribosomal RNA", at positions 355 to 776 of the family's 1533-position model. The record is from RNAcentral.